Long non-coding RNA from Hipposideros armiger (great roundleaf bat), 452 nucleotides. RefSeq lists it as uncharacterized. Lineage: Eukaryota; Metazoa; Chordata; Mammalia; Chiroptera; Hipposideridae. The record is from RefSeq and is a predicted model, not a curated record. The transcript is spliced from 4 exons.
GACCGGUGGGCUUACCUAAGGAUGAGGGCCCUGGAGGACAACGUCCCACGCUCUGCGUCCGGCCCCGUACCCCAGGGACGAGGUCUCAUUCGGAUGUCAAGUGGGGCCUUAGAGACCUACCCACCAAGGAACAGCCCAGCUCUGCACUAACCAGCACAUGCUCCUGAGCCUCAGUGAUCUCCUGCUUUAAAUGGGGAUGAGUCCUGCUUUGCCCACCUCCCGCGAUGUUUCUUUGUGGUCUUAUAGACCACUGAGGUUACAGAAAUGGACAAGUCAGACCUGUUUCCUGCUUACUCGGAACUCAACAGACUUUGGGGCUGCCCUGUCCGGCACAGUGGCCCUUAGUCACUCAUGGCUAUAGGAUGCAACAAUCAUAGACGCUCUGUGAGUUCACGAAGCCCGGCUUGGACCAGUUCCUGUUCAUGGAGUCUUAGGUGGCAGUGAUGACCUUG